UACGGAGGGUGCGAGCGUUGUCCGGAAUCACUGGGCGUAAAGGGCGCGUAGGCGGCCUGAUAAGUAGGGGGUGAAAUCUUGCGGCUUAACCGCAAGGCUGCCUUCUAAACUGUCAGGCUAGAGCACAGUAGAGGCAGGUGGAAUUCCCGGUGUAGCGGUGGAAUGCGUAGAGAUCGGGGAGAACAUCAGUGGCGAAGGCGGCCUGCUGGGCUGUUGCUGACGCUGAGGCGCGACAGCGUGGGGAGCAAACAGG
RNAcentral lists this ribosomal RNA (253 nucleotides) under uncultured bacterium. RNAcentral's name for it is "partial 16S ribosomal RNA". It matches the Rfam family "Bacterial small subunit ribosomal RNA", at positions 524 to 776 of the family's 1533-position model. The record is from RNAcentral.